Long non-coding RNA from Corapipo altera (White-ruffed manakin), 1291 nucleotides. RefSeq lists it as uncharacterized. The record is from RefSeq and is a predicted model, not a curated record. Lineage: Eukaryota; Metazoa; Chordata; Aves; Passeriformes; Pipridae. The transcript is spliced from 3 exons.
GGGAACCCGCAGGGGCUGCGCCUCGGACCGUUCGCCUGCGCGGGGCGGGAGGAAGCGAGGGAAGGAGGGAAGGAGGCGGUGCUGGGGCGGUGAUCAGCCCCGGUCGGCCGGGAAUCGAGUCCGGCCGCUCCGCCCUCCGCGGCCGGGGCGCUGCGGGCAAUGCGCGUCCGCCUCAGGGGCGGCGGGAGAACGGCCGGGCCCGUGAGGGCUGAGGAGGAGGUGGUCUUUCGUGCUUCCAUAAGGACAAUAGUUUCUUUGGCUGAAACAUCCCGUCCAGAGGGUUACAAUAAAACACUUUGCACUUGAAUUGUUUGCCUUCCUGACCCCUCAGCUUUCUGCCAGCUUCUGACUGUGCCUGCAACCACAAUAAUGCUAUGACUAACUUAAUUAGGAAAAAAAAAGGAAGAAAAAUGUAGAAAAACCUUUCUGUCCUGUGAAAGGAAAGCUGUUGCUGCUGUGAGAAUUGCUAUUCCUGCUGGCAGAAAGGCAGGAGGUUAAUGAGAACCCCUCCUUGAGGGUUGGUUUUCUCAAUUUUCUCAUGUGCACAGGAACAAGCCAAAGGUGAGCUACACUGUUUCUUGAUGAAGAGCAAUGAAUUAAUUUUAAACUCCAUCAUUCAUUCCAUAGAACACAGAAAUUUAGUGUAAUUGUGUCCUCACUCUGUACUGACAGUGAAAAAUAACUUUCUGAGACAUGGAUUCUCUUUGAUUUCAUCGGUGUCAUGUUACGAUAGGGCAGAGCAGCACAGGGAAAAGUGUAAGGAGCACAUUUGGAGCAAGAGAUACUUUUCUUGCAUCACCAGUGUCUCCCCUCCAGAAUCUGAAUUACCCCACGGCCUUGAGAGGGGACAGAAAGGCUGGAGAGAUUUAAAAUUCCAGCACUCUGCCCGUGGGGACGAACUAGAUGCACCAAGGGUCUGUAACAUACGCUCGGUGUCACGCCCACGUGCCCUCCUGAGCACUGCAGGUUCCACGGGAAGGUCAUGCCUGUCACUCUUUGGCCCCAUCCUUCUGGCACAGAGAGUGAGAACAGCUACAGGCUCGUGUUACCCAGGGGCAUUAACUGUGCUGGGUGGAAUGCCCAGCUUAUUUCUUUGAAUGAAUGUAUGUGUAUCCCACAGUGCCAUCCUUAUGUUAACCUACCAGCACAGCCAGGAGAGGCAGUCGAAGAACAAACUCAGUUUUUAUUAAAAUGAAACGCUCUGUUUUGACCCUGGUGUUAAGGACUCAGUUAUUGUCAUAUAUAAGAUGGAGAGUUUGAAACAUGCUGUCUGUGGUGCCAAGAGAAUUGC